AGCAAUUUUCUUGACUCUGUAUGCGAUUCGAUGUUCCAAACAUAUAUCUCACCAAAUGUCUGCUUCCAUGAUCAGUCAUGGAAAUAAACGUGCUGAAAACAAAUUGGCUCCCGAUUAAAAAACAAUAUGGACAACAAGUUAUAAAGUAAAAGUUCUGGAGUUCUGAUGCAGGUACAGUGUAAAAGUUCUGGAGUUCUGAUGCAGGUACAGUGUAAAAGUUCUGGAGUUCUGAUGCAGGUACAGUGUAAAAGUUCUGGAGUUCUGAUGCAGGUACAGUGUAAAAGUUCUGGAGUUCUGAUGCAGGUACAGUGUAAAAGUUCUGGAGUUCUGAUGCAGGUACAGUGUAAAAGUUCUGGAGUUCUGAUGCAGGUACAGUGUAAAAGUUCUGGAGUUCUGAUGCAGGUACAGUGUAAAAGUUCUGGAGUUCUGAUGCAGGUACAGUGUAAAAGUUCUGGAGUUCUGAUGCAGGUACAGUGUAAAAGUUCUGGAGUUCUGAUGCAGGUACAGUGUAAAAGUUCUGGAGUUCUGAUGCAGGUACAGUGUAAAAGUUCUGGAGUUCUGAUGCAGGUACAGUGUAAAAGUUCUGGAGUUCUGAUGCAGGUACAGUGUAAAAGUUCUGGAGUUCUGAUGCAGGUACAGUGUAAAAGUUCUGGAGUUCUGAUGCAGGUACAGUGUAAAAGUUCUGGAGUUCUGAUGCAGGUACAGUGUAAAAGUUCUGGAGUUCUGAUGCAGGUACAGUGUAAAAGUUCUGGAGUUCUG
This is a long non-coding RNA of Oncorhynchus keta (chum salmon), 759 nucleotides long. RefSeq lists it as uncharacterized. The transcript is spliced from 3 exons. NCBI's taxonomy places the organism in Eukaryota, Metazoa, Chordata, Actinopteri, Salmoniformes, Salmonidae. The record is from RefSeq and is a predicted model, not a curated record.